UCCCUGGUGGCUCAGCGGUUAAAGCAUCUGCCUGGAAUGCUGGAAACCCGGGUUCGAUCCCUGGGUCGGGAA
Molecule: transfer RNA, 72 nt
Filed under: Ovis aries (sheep)
Lineage: Eukaryota; Metazoa; Chordata; Mammalia; Artiodactyla; Bovidae
Rfam family: tRNA
About the family: Transfer RNA (tRNA) molecules are approximately 80 nucleotides in length.
Source: Rfam by way of RNAcentral